This 74-nucleotide transfer RNA is filed under the name Fundulopanchax scheeli. RNAcentral describes it as "tRNA-Leu". It matches the Rfam family "tRNA". Rfam says of the family: Transfer RNA (tRNA) molecules are approximately 80 nucleotides in length. The record is from RNAcentral. Lineage: Eukaryota; Metazoa; Chordata; Actinopteri; Cyprinodontiformes; Nothobranchiidae.
GUUAAGGUGGCAGAGCCAGGCUAAUGCAAAAGAUCUAAGACCUUUACACGGAGGUUCAAAUCCUCCCCCUAACU